This 584-nucleotide ribosomal RNA is filed under the name uncultured bacterium. RNAcentral's name for it is "partial 16S ribosomal RNA". It matches the Rfam family "Bacterial small subunit ribosomal RNA", at positions 355 to 1375 of the family's 1533-position model. The record is from RNAcentral.
UGGGGAAUUUUGGACAAUGGGCGAAAGCCUGAUCCAGCAAUGCCGCGUGUGUGAAGAAGGCCUUCGGGUUGUAAAGCACUUUUGUCCGGAAAGAAAUCCUUGGCUCUAAUACAGUCGGGGGAUGACGGUACCGGAAGAAUAAGCACCGGCUAACUACGUGCCAGCAGCCGCGGUAAUACGUAGGGUGCAAGCGUUAAUCGGAAUUACUGGGCGUAAGCGUGCGCAGGCGGUUUGCUAAGACCGAUGUGAAAUCCCCGGGCUCAACCUGGGAACUGCAUUGGUGACUGGCAGGCUAGAGUAUGGCAGAGGGGGGUAGAAUUCCACGUGUAGCAGUGAAAUGCGUAGAGAUGUGGAGGAAUACCGAUGGCGAAGGCAGCCCCCUGGGCCAAUACUGACGCUCAUGCACGAAAGCGUGGGGAGCAAAGCAGGAUUAGAUACCCUGGUAGUCCACGCCCUAAACGAUGUCAACUAGUUGUUGGGGAUUCAUUCCUUAGUAACGUAGCUAACGCGUGAAGUUGACCGCCUGGGGAGUACGGUCGCAAGAUUAAAACUUAAAGGAAUUGACGGGGUCAUAGCUGUUUCCU